AAGAGAUCGAAGGUAGGUUGAAGUCAGCUGAGGCAAAGAUCAUGUCCUUGCAGUCAAAUUGUCUGAAGUUAUGGGAUACUGGUCCUUCUAAUCAACUUCUUGAGUAUCUGCAAAAUGUAGAAGAAGUUCGGAGUAUAAUAGUGAGCUUGGAAAGUAUGGUGCUAAACAAGAACAGGAAACAAAGCAGACUUACUAAUCAAGCUCACAGUGUUUUGCAGAUUGCAAUGGUAAGGCUGCAGGAAGAAGUUAUCAAUAUUCUUGCGCAGAGUAAGCAGUGUUUCGAGCAUGCAUAUGUGUCGUUCCAUUCUUGUGAAGAGACCGUAGUUGAUGAGGAAAUGAUGGUCUCAAUUGAGUAUGACUCAAUUGAGGGAACAUCUUGUCUGGAUAGUAGUAGAGCUGAAUCAGAAGAAUGUAUAAUAAUGGAUUUGGUCCAUCCAGG
Molecule: unclassified non-coding RNA, 439 nt
Filed under: Hevea brasiliensis (rubber tree)
Lineage: Eukaryota; Viridiplantae; Streptophyta; Magnoliopsida; Malpighiales; Euphorbiaceae
Source: RNAcentral